ACGAAAAAUUGAGUGUAAAAUGAACCUUCUUCCGCUAGGAUCUCGUCGAAAGCUGAGAAGAUCGUAUACGGGAACGAUUGACCGAAGCAAAAGGGAAGAAUGCAUUCCUAAUAGUUUCUGCAGUUCAACCAAUAUCUUGACACUGAUUGUCUAAUUCUUUCUUGCGUUGGAAAUGAAGUUAGAAAUCUUUCUGCGAUGUUACCUCCUCGGUCUCUCUUUAAGACUGCAACAGCUGAGUGCACGAGUUGUGUUUGAAAUUAUCGUGAGGCACCGCGUUUAAAUACCAUCGCCGUUUGUCAUAGAUCACAGAGGUUGGAUUUGGCUUUCAGCCGAGCAUAUGCCACGGUGAGGAAAACUAUGGCUUCCUAUCAUCAAAGACUCAAGAUACAGGAGACGAGCCUCACGGUUGACCAGGAUCCAGCCAGCUGAUCCACGCCACAUCGUCUUCGCUCACGAGUAUUUUUCAAGUUUUUUUCCCAUUCA
This is a long non-coding RNA of Dendronephthya gigantea, 483 nucleotides long. RefSeq lists it as uncharacterized. The record is from RefSeq and is a predicted model, not a curated record. NCBI's taxonomy places the organism in Eukaryota, Metazoa, Cnidaria, Anthozoa, Malacalcyonacea, Nephtheidae. The transcript is spliced from 4 exons.